AUGGCGCCGGGAUUCACCAAAUUUGAUGUGGAGAAAUUCGAUGGCACGGGUAACUUCGGUCUAUGGCAGACAAGAGUCAAGGAUAUUCUGACGCAACAGGGAAUCUUGAAGGGUUUGCAGGAGAUGAAGCCGGCCAAGGUUGACAACGAUGCCUGGGAGGAUAUGCAAGUGCAAGCGGCCGCUACCAUAUGA
Molecule: ribosomal RNA, 192 nt
Filed under: Triticum aestivum (bread wheat)
Lineage: Eukaryota; Viridiplantae; Streptophyta; Magnoliopsida; Poales; Poaceae
Description: partial small subunit ribosomal RNA
Source: RNAcentral